GUAAAACAAAAAACACACAAAAUUGUGUAAAUCUAACUAGUUCUUAUUUAAUUUAGUUUUAAUUUUAGAUUCAAAUUUCUUUGCUUAUGGUAUAUAAUAGGAUUGGAUUAUCUACAUAGAGGAUGCAAACCAACAAUAAUCCACCGAGAUAUAAAGACAAGCAACAUAUUAUUAUCGGAAAAAUUAGAAGCUAAGAUAACGGAUUUUGGAUUGUGUAAAAUCUUCGAAAAUAAUGAUGCAAUGACGCAUAUGUCAACUAAUGUGUUGGGUACUCCUGGUUAUCUCGACCCUGAGUAAGUCUUUAUAUAUCCAACUAUCAAUUAAGUAGACUCAAAAGAUCCAUGUAUGCAUCUAAUUCCAAUUCAUAAUUUUCUUGAUUUUACUGUCAAAGCCAUAUAUAGAUAUAGGGUGCAUUUUUUAUGCGGUUCAUCCUCAAUGCGGAUGACUGCGGUCGCCGUUCCGCAUUGGGAACGAUCCACCUCCCGUACUGGGACCUAUCGCCCGAACCACCGACACGAGGUUCGCGAUCUGGAACCCAUCGCGGUUACGUUACACGGUUCGGGCGGUUGGGGACGAACCGCGAUGGGUUCCAUCACCCGAACACACCGCGGUUCCAUACCAAUGGGUUCCGAUCAUGAUUGACCGUGGCAUGAGGUUCGCGAUGGCGCCUUACCGCGAUAUGUUUCGCCUUACCGCGAUAUGUUUGGGCUCUUCAAUCAUCGGAUGAUCGGACUUCGGUGGUUUUGUUGAAGUUAACGGACCUCAUGCCGUCCCCUCACCGCGUUGUGGUACGGUCCGCAACGGAGCACCGUCAGAUUGUCAAUUCAGUUGUCAAUCCGGGUGGGCGUCCGUAGGAGGUAUCAGGUGCGGACAACCACACCUGAUACGGGUUGUAUAGAUAUAUAUUACUUUAAGUCUUUAACUCCAGUCGCAAUUGUAAUCACAAACUAAUUUCAACCAUCUAUUCAUUCUAAUGUGUAGAUAUCGAAAAACAUACAAGUUGAAAGAGAAAAGUGAUGUUUACAGCUUUGGAAUCGUUCUUCUAGAAUUAAUAACAGGUAAACCUGCCGUAAUAAAGAAUGCAGACGAAGAUUAUAUUUUAUUGGGAGAAUGGAUGGAUGCAAUCCAUGCACGAGGGGAUAUACUUGCAAUUGUUGAUCCAAAGUUAAAUGGAGAAUAUGAUAUCAACUCUGCUUUGAAAGCUCUUGAGAUAGCCUCAGCAUGCACUCCUUCCUUAUCCGAACGAAGAUCAUCGAUGCAUGAUAUCGUGACACUUUUAAAGGAGUGCUUAGAGAUUGAAAUAACAUGUGGAGCUUGCAGAUAUAGAAGCUCGAAUUUUAUGGCUAAUUAUGAAGAUGAAAUGUUUACAGGUCCUACAAUAAGGUAGGGAUUGAAAUUCCCAAAGACUCUGCGUGCAGACAUCUAUGCAUACAUAUGGAGUUUGUCUAUUCUAUCUAAUAUAUGUGUGAUUCGCAUCCUCUAUCAAUUAUCACCUGAUCAAGUGAUAGGGAAUAAUAAAAAUGUUAGUUGUAGUAAUUUGAGAGGUUAUAUAGUGUUUUUUCCAUUUCAUCUAUGUAAAUGUCAUUGUAAUAAACAAAAGAAAUAAAAUAGAAAUUUUAUUAUGUGAUAUAGAAUCAAAAACAAUCAACGGAUUACAAUGAAUUAAUGAUGUUCAGAAAAUAUAGACAUAUGCAAAGAGUAAUUACUGGUGAGGGAAUUAAUCAACCAACAUAACCAAUAAUCUAUACUUAACGUAAGAGAAAGAAGAAACAGAUUACAUACCGUAGUAUUGAAUCUGAAGUUGAUUCGAUAUUGCAUCUUUGAAAGAGAAAAAGCGAUUGUCUGGCUUCUACAAAGAGGAAUACAUGUUAUUGUCCAAUGGACUCAACUCUAAGGAUGAUAUAAAUGGUGUUCCAAAUAUUUUUACCAAACAAACCACCAUCGAUUUUUUUAGGCAAAAGCCAUUAUUUCUACUGUAUGGUAUCAGACCCAUUAAGGUCAACUGAGAUCGACAUCCAGAUAGAAAUCAAACUGAAGAAUUCUAUUCAAUGUAUCAUAAUUAGCAUAUAGGAAUAAUACUCUAAUUAAGUACUUUUUUUUAUCUAUUUGGACAUAUAGUCUGUAGCAAUUUCUGGAUCCUUCAGGAAAGCUUCUUAAAUGAUAUCCCUGUUUAUUCGAUGCAAUUUUUUUUACCAUGCCAUGACUAGGAAUCUUUUUGUUUCAUACCACUUUCGACAAAGCUUGAAUCAGAUAUGUAGGUUAAAUCCGUUGCAUUAUCAACAUAAUCAUUUUCUUGACCACAGUUAAUGCUUAUGAAUUCUGAAUAUAUAUAAAAACGAGCAAAAUUUCGAGAUAAAAGGCAUUAAUAUUUAAAGAAACAGAAUUGAAAGAAUUGAACUAUGUAGAGAGUUUAGCGAUUAAGGAUUGACAUGUAUAUGUAGUUUUAAACUCACAGAUAUUCAUUAUCAUAAACAAAAAGAAAAAUUUCAAAUUACUUAUGUUUGUGAUUACUCCGAUUAGCAUUUCAACGGCCAAAACCUUGGUAGGAUUCAUUUGCAAUAACCCAAAAUCUCUAAAAUUUAAUAUGAAAUUGAGAAAAGGUUCGAUACCAUCAAGCUGACCAUGGACCUUAAUGAUGAGAUGAAUGCCAGAAAAUCCGUCAGAUGUAGAACAGAAGACAAUCUAUUCCUGCCAUUUUCAUUUUUAAAUCCUCAGCAUCUGAAUUUGCAAUAAUACAUCAGCUAAUAGAGAGAAGAAGAAAUGAGAGCUGUGCAAAUGAAAUUAGUAAGAUGGGGUUUAUUUACAACUGUGCUGGUAUGUUUCCAAGGGAGAGUGAUGUGGAAGGUCAACCCCUUUCAUCCUCAAGAGUUAUUGUCUGCACAUCUAUAUAUUCAUCAGCUAAUAUUACAAUUUUAUGGUGCUCUCGAUCUUGUCAUUUUUUAUCAGACAACCAAGAAUGGAAUUGCAAACAGCUGCAUUAUUAUUGAUUGAUUUAUUAGUUAAACUGGUAUACACUUGCAGAGCUUUCAAAUGAUUUCAACUAAUGUGUGGCUAAAAUGCCUAAAAAACGACUCCCUGAUAUCGAAAAAAACAAAAUGCUAUCAUUGAAUAUGAAAUAACCUGAGAAACCUCUGACCAUCUUCCCAAAUUCCCAAAAUGUCGCAAGAUAAUAUUCAAGUCUUGCACGAGCAAUACGUUCUCAAACCUGUAACGAGCAUAAAGCUUUGUAAAUCUCGGCAAUGUAUUGAACAUUUGAACCAAAUUUAGCAUAUGAAUAUACGAUCGAUCAACACACUGAAAAUGAGGCAGAUUUUGGAAUUACGAAGAGAGGGUUACCUGGAGAGAGUCGCAAGCAAGUCGGCGAAGUUCUUGAGUGCAGAUACAGCGGAUUGUCGUGGAGUGGGGCGGAAAUCAGAAGAUACAAUGACUGCGGAGGUGGAGGAAGUGGAAGCGGAAGAAGAGAGAUAGGAUUUGUGUAGGGUUUUGGAGAAAGAAGAGGAGGGAGAUGGAUUGCAAUUCCUGGUGGUGAUGUUGGUUAGGAGAAAAUGCGAUCGGAAUCUGGAGGAGACGGAUGGAGGUAGUGGAUAUGCGACACCGUCUGCAUCUCUUUUCCGGAUGCAGAAUUGCAGAUGCGGAAGAAAGAAAAAGAAAUCUAAACCGUUUCCAUGUUAUAUUAUAUCUAUUUUGAGAUUGAGCUGAUUGGGUGUGUUUAUCUUAUAUUUAAUGGUUAUCAUGUGUAUUGAAUAACUACAAAAAUAGAAGUAUAAAUCUCGAAAAAAAAUGAUCUGGACACUCUGAGUGCACCCAAUAUGGACGCACCAAAAGGAUCUAGAUGGACCUUCUUAUUUCAUUCUUCAACUCCAAGGGCAAGGAUAUGGAUGGGUCUCUUAUGUAAUUGUGAAGGAUACCAUGAAUGCGUUGAUUAAUGGCAAACUUGAUAAGGAUGAUAUUAUCGUGAUCUAGUUCCUUGUACAUCAGGCUAGUGGAAGUUUGUCAUGCCUUAGUAGUUCAUCUAUAUAUCUUGACGUAGACCAAAGAAAUAAAAAAGAUAUGAUGAGCCUUGAAUAUAACUCAUAAACUUCUCUCUAGCUAUUUACUCUCUUGGUAUUACAAGUGGCAAAAACUAAAUCCUUCUCAUGUGUCCCCUAGAGAGGAAAAUAUAGUGGUGUCUGAUUAGGCUAGCCAGGCUUGCCGGACCAAGCCUUUUUCCUCUCAGGCCUAUGGACCAGGGUGGACUGGAUCAGGUAUACUUCUGGAAAGAUAGUGCCUCUCUCUUCUUUUUAUAACGUCCAUCUGAUCUAAUCGAUCUCUUUGAUAAUUAUUCAAUUUGACUUUUAGGACAAAUUAAUUUCUAAAUGUAAAUAUUCAAUAUUUUUUGUUUCAAAGUUGACAUUCUUAAUUAGAUGCUUAUAAUAAAUUUAAAGAAAAUGAUGUUUAAAUUAAAGUCAAAUGAACUAAUUAAUUAUUCUUAAAUGCUUUAAAAAAACUAAUUAUUUGUAAUAGGUUUAUUAAAUUUUUCAAAAUACUAUUAGAUAUUUUUGUUAUAUAAUAAUUUAAAACCUACGAAAUUUCAUCAAAAAUAGUUCAUAUAUGUUUUUAUGUAGUGUGGAAAAGAUGACAACGACAAUUAAAAAAUAAAAAAUAAUCAUUCAAGUGGAAUAAAAUUGACUAAGCUAUUUUGCAUGGUAAUAGAAUAAUGGGGUAUUUAUUUUCUGAAAGUAAAAAUAAUGUAAUCCACAUAUAACUGAUAUAGGAGAAUUAGUGUAUUAUUUAUUGUAUCUGAUAUUAAUUUUGAUUUUGAUUUUGAUUUUGAUUUUAAAAUGAUUAAUGGCAUCUAAGACUGAUGCCAUUUUUCUAUCUAUAUAUCCUAUAUACAAUUCAUAUCAUUUUAUAUACAAAGAGAUAUCGAAAGCAGAGAAUGGUGAGAAAAGCAUCCAUGAAAGAACAGAAGAUAGGUGCAUCUGAAGUGCCAAUAUUGUUGGUUUCCUUGGGAUUGUUGAUCUUCUCUUUAUCAGUUAAUGGACAAAAUAUGGAUGGUAAUUAUAUGUUCUUCGACUAUAUAUAUAUGUUUAUCGUGUUAAUUAACUCUGAAUCAUGCAUUCAAUUGUAGAUGGAUUCAUAAGCAUCGAUUGUGGACAAGAAAAGAACUACACAGACACCGCAACAGGUUUGCGCUAUGUUUCUGAUUUUGAUGGGUUUGUAGAUACUGGUGAGACUCACAAGAUCCCCACUGAUAUGGAACAAUAUGCAACGAACCAACAAGGAUAUCAUUUGAGAAGUUUUCCGAAUGGAAUCAGGAACUGCUACAGAUUACUAGUUGAUGAAAAUAAAAAGUAUUUGAUAAGAGCAUCAUUCAUGUAUGGCAAUUAUGAUCAGAGAAACAAUCCUCCACAGUUUGAUCUCUAUCUGAAUGUCGAUCUAUGGAGCUCGGUUGAUCUUAGAGGACGAUCCAAAACUCAUGUAUUCUUAGAAAUUUCGGUUUUUGCUUCGAGAAAUUGGAUGUUUGUUUGUGUGGUAAAUACAGGAUUGGGGACACCAUUUGUAUCCUCUUUGGAGUUGAGGCCUUUAAAAGAUGAUAUGUAUCCUUUAGUGACGAAUAAUCAAUCAUUCGUCCUCUUUCAACGAAGCAAUGUUCAACCAAUUAGAAAUGAAACAUUAAGGUAAAUCUUUUUUUUCUAUCUUUAUAUGUCGAUCGUUUACAUAUAUAUUUUAUGUGUUGUAUUUUCAGGUAUCCGACUGAUAUCUAUGAUCGCUUUUGGAUUCCAUAUUACUCCAAGUCUUUGGAAACGUUAUCUACCGAAUCAAAGAUUGUGCAAUGUACAGCUUGUUUAAAAUACCCAGCUCCAAUGGAUGUGUUGAAAACAUGUGGAGCGCCCAUUGCAAAUGGUUCAGAUAUAAAUAUCACAUUCCAGUGGCCACUCAAUAAUAUCACGUCUCGGAAAAUAGUCUAUGCAUUCCACUAUGCAGAAAUCCAAUCCCUCACAACAAAUCAAUCAAGGAAUUUUUCUUUUUUUAAGAGCUUUCAGGAUCGGUCAUCCGGGCCAUUCAAGUUUCCAAAGUAUUUAACAGCAACUUAUUUGCACAAGCCAACACCAGUGCAGGUAUCGAUAGAUUUUUUCUACAUGACUUUUCGCAAAACAAAAAAUUCUACACUUCCUCCACUCUUAAGUGCCAUGGAAAUAUAUGAAGUCAAACAAACAUCAAAGUUAAUUUCUACUGGGAAAGAAGGUAUAUAUGUCAAAUAUAGUAUGUACAUGUAAUUCAUUAAUCAAUCAAUCAAUUCAUUUAUUGUAUAUGUAUAUACAGUUGAAGCCAUGAUGGAAAUAAAAAAAUCAUACAAAUUGGAGAAGAAUUGGCAAGGGGAUCCAUGUGCUCCAGAGAACUUAAUUUGGAAAGGGAUCAAAUGUAGAAAAUUUUCAAUCGUUUCUUUGUAAGUCGGUUUUAUUUGAUGCAAAAGAAAACAAUAUUACAUAAUUACAUAUAUCAUGUUAGAAUCAUGUUAAUAUGUGCAUGAUAAGAUAAUAUGAGAUAUCUGAUCUUUUUUAUCUAAAGAUUUAUGAUAUUAUUGAGAUUGAGAUUAACUGUUGUGAUUAAAUUAUCUCAUAUAAUCUCAUCACUCAUUAUUGUAACUUGCUCUUUUCUUUUAAUUAAUGUAUGUAUAUAUUGAAUAAUACUUAAUUAUAGGAACAUGUCAUCAAAUGGGCUGAGUGGGAAAAUAGCACUUUCAAUUAGAGAUCUCAAACAACUUGAAAACUUGUAAGCUGGUUUUCUAUUUAAUUUUUAGAUCCAAAUAUGAAUGAGAAGAAAUAUAAUAAAAUAUAAAUAAUUUAUUUACUAUUAUUUUGUUGACAUAAAUGCAGAGACUUAUCAAACAAUAAAUUGAAUGGAAAAAUCCCACACUUCCUCUCAGACUUAGAAAGUCUUAAAUUUUUGUAAGUGUAUAUUUUUUUAAAAAUAAUUAUAACUACUAUCAAUUAUUCUUUUAACUAACUAGUUAUAAUAUAUUUAUCAAUAGGGAUGUGUCUAGAAAUAAUCUUAAUGGGGAUAUACCAGAAGGCUUGAAAAUAAAAAUUGAAGAUGGAUUCCUCAACAUAAGGUAUGAAUAAAAUUAAAAAACAAAACCUGUGUAAUCUUGUUUCAAUUCCACCCAUAUAUUUUGGAUGUGAACAUAUAUAUGAAAAUUGAUUGUUGGAUCCCCCUCCAUCUUAUGUAAGAUUUGAAGGAAAUCCUAAUCUUUACAAAAAGUCAAACAAAAUUGUCAUCAUUAUUCCUAUUGUGGUAAUUACUUUGGUAAUUAUCGCGAUAACAGUCAUCGUGGUUGUUAUUUGGAAAAGGAAAAGAAAACUCUAUGGUAAGCUAAUUAAACACUAUCUAGUUCAUUUUUGCAAAUUUUAAGAAUUAUGUUUACUAACUUAUAUAUUAAAUUCUUUAAUUAAGGUCGAAAAAGAAUUAUUGAAAGUAAAGGAAGAGGAUCUUUCCGUCUUCCAUCUUUUAGUUCCAAUAACAAGAUAUUGACAUACAUCGAUUUGAUCAACAUAACCAACGAUUUCGAUAAAAUAAUUGGACAAGGAGGAUUUGGUACUGUGUAUCAUGGAACAAUGAACAAUGGAAUUCAAGUGGCGGUCAAACAUCUCUCUGUUGCUUCAUCUCAAGGAUCAAAAGAAUUUCAAAUGGAGGUAGGCCUCAUUUAUACAUCCAUUAUUAUUUUAAAAAACGUUUCAAGAUAUCUUAUAAGAUAUUAAUCUAGACAGUUCAUUUAUUUUAAAUGAAAUGAACCAUAUCUUGAGAUCGUACUUCAGUUUAAUGACUAUAUAUGUAUAUGCAGGCACAUCUCCUUACAACGAUUCAUCACAAGAACAUAGUACCUUUAGUUGGGUAUUGUAAUGAGAAAGAUCAUCUAGCAUUGGUAUAUGAAUAUAUGGUAGGCGGAAAUCUAAAAGAUCAUCUUUCAGGUUUGUUAAUAUAAUCCAAGCUCUCCAUCGCAUGAACGCCUAGGUCGCCUAGGCGUCGUCUUAAACACGAUGGAAAUUUUGUAUAAUUUCCCCUGUAUUUUUCUAAUAUUACUAUAAAUACCUGUAUUUUUAGAAAUAUUAAUAAAAUAUAUAUAGAAUCAUUAGAAUGAAAUAAAAGUCUUAAGGAAAAUAAAAUAUUACUAACGAAGUCUUAUGAGCCAUAGGGCUGCCUGAAAAAGAGGGAGAAGAAAAAAAUAAGUGGCUAGAAAUAAGAGGAAAAUAAGGGAAUAGGGUUUUAAAACCCUAACUCUUCUUUUUAUAAGAUUUAAAUAGGUAUUUGGGUUAGACAGAUCCAACCGUAUCCGCCUAACCCGCCUAGUACGUGAAGGCAGAUCGCCUACAGGUGUUGGAUCGUAUGAUCGCCUAGACGAUCGCAUAUAAAAGCUUGAUACCAUCAAACCAAAAUAUAUUUUUUUUGCACAUACUGAAAUUACAUUAUUCUUGUUGCAUGAAGGAUCAAUUAGCUCUUUGACGAAAAUAUGUUGGAGAGAUCGACUUAGGAUAGCAUUAGAAGUUGCAGAAGGUACGUAAAACAAAAAACACACAAAAUUAUGUAAAUCGAACUGGUUCUUAUUUAAUUUAGUUUUAAUUUUAGAUUCAAAUUUAUUUGCUGUAUAUAAUAGGAUUGGAUUAUCUACAUAGAGGAUGCAAAACAACAAUAAUCCACAGAGAUAUAAAGACAAGCAACAUAUUAUUAUCGGAGAAAUUAGAAGCUAUGAUAGCGGAUUUUGGAUUGUGUAAAAUCUUCGAAAAUAAUGAUGCAAUGACGCAUAUGUCAACUAAUGUGUUGGGUACUCCUGGUUAUCUCGACCCUGAGUAAGUCUUUAUAUAUCUAACUAUCAAUUAAGUAGACUCAAAAGAUCCAUGUAUGCAUCUAAUUUCAAUUCAUAAUUUUCUUGAUUUUACUGUCAAAGUAGUAUAUAGAUAUAUAUACUACUUUAAUUCCAUUUGCAAUUGUAAUCACAAACUAAUUUCAACCAUCUAUUCAUUCUAAUGUGUAGAUAUCGAAAAACACACAAGUUAAAAGAGAAAAGUGAUGUUUACAGCUUUGGAAUCGUUCUUCUAGAAUUAAUAACAGGUAAACCUGCCGUAAUAAAGAAUGCAGACGAAGAUUAUAUUUUAUUGGCAGAAUGGGUGGAUUCAAUCCAUGCACAAGGGGAUAUACUUGCAAUUGUUGAUCCAAAGUUAAAUGGAGAAUAUGAUAUCAACUCUGCUGGAAAAGCUCUUGAG
Molecule: long non-coding RNA, 9242 nt
Filed under: Zostera marina
Lineage: Eukaryota; Viridiplantae; Streptophyta; Magnoliopsida; Alismatales; Zosteraceae
Description: long non-coding RNA (ZMAR_LNC001343)
Source: RNAcentral